Molecule: ribosomal RNA, 379 nt
Filed under: uncultured organism
Description: bacterial SSU rRNA
Rfam family: Bacterial small subunit ribosomal RNA
Source: RNAcentral
CAGAGACCCCGAGCAUUAUCCGGAUUUAUUGGGCGUAAAGCGUUCGUAGGCGGUUUUGUAAGUCAUUUGUUAAAUCUUCAGGCCCAACCUGGAGGCUGCGGGUGAUACUGCAAGACUCGAGUGUGGGAGAGGCAGAUGGAAUGCCCGGUGUAGCGGUAAAAUGCGUUAAUAUCGGGUAGAACACCAAAGGCGAAAGCAAUCUGCUGGAACACAACUGACGCUCAUGAACGAAAGCGUGGGUAGCGAAAGGGAUUAGAUACCCCUGUAGUCCACGCCGUAAACGAUGAUAACUAGAUUUUGGGAGUAUCGACCCUCCCAGAGUCGACAAAACAAGCUAACGCGUUAAGUUAUCCGCCUGGGAAGUACGGUCGCAAGACUA